Molecule: long non-coding RNA, 1890 nt
Filed under: Anser cygnoides (Swan goose)
Lineage: Eukaryota; Metazoa; Chordata; Aves; Anseriformes; Anatidae
Description: lncRNA (ENSACDG00005013164.1)
Source: RNAcentral
GCCCGCCCGGCCCCGGCCCCGAGCGCCCGGAGCCGCGCAGCCGGGGGCCCUCGGGGCUCUGCCCGAACGCCGGCAGCCUUCGUGCCUCCCCCGGGCUGCCCGGGGUGGGAACGCCAAAGGUGGGGCGGCCCGGCGGGGAGCCCGGGGGCAGGAAGGCGCAGGAGGGCUCCCCGGCCGCUCGUGCGGUCGCUGACCCCUCACGCCGCUCGUUGUGUGCUCGGGGCUCCCAGCGGGGACGGCUGGGCUCGUUGUGCUUCCAGCAGCGCAGCCGGAGCGCGGCCUGUCCGUGUCGCACGGCGGGGAAGGAGCAGGGACACGGCAGCGCCCUCCCGGUCAGCUGGCGGCCUGCUGGUCGCAGGGCCCGCGCUCCGAAAUCCGCGACGGGGAGCGCGGUGCCCCUCGGCUGGGCCGGGCUGCCCCUGAGCUGCUGCUGCCCGCCGCUGAGCCCUCAGCGUGCCAGCAGCGCGCAGCCGGCACCGAGCGUGUUGUGAGGCAGCCCGCAGCACGCGGCCCCGUGUCGCUCGGUCAUCCCGCAUCCUUUCUCCUCCGUGGAUGUUUCAGACCUCUGAGCGAACGUCUGUGCCAUGCGCUGCGGUCAGGGGUGUGCCACAGGAAACGGUCCUGCUUCCUGCCACGGAAAAUAGUCCUGCGUGCUGCCCACGGGCAGAAAACAUGCUCGUCCGGGUUGUUGUGGGGUGAUGGAUAUUUGUCUGGCUGAGGAGGGCAGACUUGCUUGCUCAGGGAAGUGCUGUCUCGCUGGGGUCAUCUCGCCCCCAUUCGUAACCGCAGUACCGAGUUACAGACGGGGAGGCAGAUUCUGCGCGCGUCGUGUUGCGCCAGAUUUGUACAGCUUUCAUCGAUUUUCCGCCGGAUAAAACGCAAGCCUGCAAACGACCAAGGUCGGGCGCUCGGGGGCAGCCAGCUCCUGCUUGGCCGAGCUCGGUGCUGGGGGCGCGGCGGGGACGGGGAGCGGGGAGCGGGGCUGCCCAGCGCCUCCCCGGGCUGCCCCAGCGCCUCCCGGCCACGCCGCGGGGGUUUCACCUCCCGGGCUGCGCAACGCCCGCUCGUGCCCGCACCGAGCCCCCGGCCCCGGGCGGAGGGAGCGCGGGACGCCCCCCCGGGACGCCCCCCCGGGACGCCCCCGGCCCCUCCGCUCGCUCGGGGGCGAGGAGGGCGCCGAGCCCCGGCCCCGCGGCAGGGACGGACCCCGCGGGCGGCGGCCGGCGGCAGCGCCGGGCCUGCACUGACCCCUAGCGGCACCGGCACCGGCACCGGGAGCUCCCCGGCGGGCGGCAGCGGCUCGGCCCGGCCCGCUGGGAGAGCUUCGGCUCCCCCCCAAGGCGGCGCUGCCCUUGCCCCCAGUGCUCGUUACCUGCGGCCCCAUCGCAGUGCCGCCUGCCUGCACCCGCGGGCCUCCUGCUGCUCUGAGCAACCCAGCGAGGAGCUCCUCAAAGGGGCGGAGGGCUGAAAGCCAGAGGGUUUGCAUGCAUUUAACGUUAGCCUAACAUUUCCACGGGGGCUUGGAAGUAUCUCACCUGCAGGGGUAUUUGCUCGAGCUAUGUAACGCGAUGUGCUGUCCCUCAAGGAGCUCCUGCUCUGCACCGCUCGCUGAGGACGGCCACGGGGCUGAGCAGGGCUCCCUGGGGCGGCCUCGGGCCGGGAAAUAACGGGGCCAAAUCCAACAGCCUCGCGUGGGUGUGCUGGCCCCAAAGGGAGACCCGCCUGUGGUCAGCAUGGCGCUGGCAGCACAAGGGGGCAAAUGGAAGAUGCCUGGUACGUUACUGUGGGGUUCCUAUGAGAUUGUGCCAUUUAUUUAUUUUUAAACCUCAUUAUUUUAGAAUGAUUUUUUUUUCCUAAAAUAAAAUUUGUUUUAACUCUCUGGAUCUCCCA